GACGAACGCUGGCGGCGUGCCUAAUACAUGCAAGUUGAGCGCUGAAGGUUGGUACUUGUACCAACUGGAUGAGCAGCGAACGGGUGAGUAACGCGUGGGGAAUCUGCCUUUGAGCGGGGGACAACAUUUGGAAACGAAUGCUAAUACCGCAUAAAAACUUUAAACACAAGUUUUAAGUUUGAAAGAUGCAAUUGCAUCACUCAAAGAUGAUCCCGCGUUGUAUUAGCUAGUUGGUGAGGUAAAGGCUCACCAAGGCGAUGUUACAUAGCCGACCUGAGAGGGUGAUCGGCCACAUUGGGACUGAGACACGGCCCAAACUCCUACGGGAGGCAGCAGUAGGGAAUCUUCGGCAAUGGACGAAAGUCUGACCGAGCAACGCCGCGUGAGUGAAGAAGGUUUUCGGAUCGUAAAACUCUGUUGGUAGAGAAGAACGUUGGUGAGAGUGGAAAGCUCAUCAAGUGACGGUAACUACCCAGAAAGGGACGGCUAACUACGUG
RNAcentral lists this ribosomal RNA (497 nucleotides) under uncultured bacterium. Its description in RNAcentral is "partial 16S ribosomal RNA". It matches the Rfam family "Bacterial small subunit ribosomal RNA", at positions 28 to 507 of the family's 1533-position model. The record is from RNAcentral.